Small RNA from Streptomyces sp. CB01580, 118 nucleotides. It matches the Rfam family "Actinobacteria sRNA Ms_IGR-7". The record is from Rfam. Lineage: Bacteria; Bacillati; Actinomycetota; Actinomycetes; Kitasatosporales; Streptomycetaceae.
CGGAAGUGCCUUGCUGAUUGUGCGUGCUGGAAGCGUGAAGAACUCCCGUCAUCGGAGCUCACAAGGCACUUCUUCAUUUUCCCAAACGUCAUCCACAGGCAUCAGCCGGUGGAUCGAG